UCAGUCUGCAUGACGUUAUUGUAUGUAA
This 28-nucleotide non-coding RNA is filed under the name Rattus norvegicus (Norway rat). Lineage: Eukaryota; Metazoa; Chordata; Mammalia; Rodentia; Muridae. The record is from RNAcentral.